RNAcentral lists this ribosomal RNA (253 nucleotides) under uncultured bacterium. Its description in RNAcentral is "partial 16S ribosomal RNA". It matches the Rfam family "Bacterial small subunit ribosomal RNA", at positions 524 to 776 of the family's 1533-position model. The record is from RNAcentral.
UACGGGGGGGGCAAGCGUUGUUCGGAAUUACUGGGCGUAAAGGGCUUGUAGGUGGCCAACUAAGUCAGACGUGAAAUCCCACGGCUUAACCGAGGAACUGCGUCUGAUACUGGAUGGCUUGAGUGUGGGAGAGGGAUGCGGAAUUCCAGGUGUAGCGGUGAAAUGCGUAGAUAUCUGGAGGAACACCGGUGGCGAAGGCGGCAUCCUGGACCAAUACUGACGCUCAUGUGCGAAAGCGUGGGGAGCAAACAGG